Non-coding RNA from Erythranthe guttata (spotted monkey flower), 183 nucleotides. The record is from RefSeq and is a predicted model, not a curated record. Lineage: Eukaryota; Viridiplantae; Streptophyta; Magnoliopsida; Lamiales; Phrymaceae.
AGCAGGCAAAACAUUUCAGUGAAGCUCUGCUGCUUAAAUCGAAAACCCUAACCGGAGACCAGUUUCUCCGCCGCGCCGCCAAAGCAGCUGCGACAAUGGUGAAAUACUCAAGAGAACCCGACAAUAUCACCAAAUCCUGCAAGGCUCAGGGAUCCGAUCUUAGGGUUCAUUUCAAGGUACACU